AAUCACGCACAUAACGAACUAUUCUUUCGCCUUUUACUAAAGAAUACCGUGCGCGUCCCAAAUAGUGGCAUAUGUCAAUUUUUGGAGGGUUUUUCUCUUUUUGAGAAAU
RNAcentral lists this small nuclear RNA (109 nucleotides) under Solanum tuberosum (potato). RNAcentral's name for it is "snRNA U5". It matches the Rfam family "U5 spliceosomal RNA". From Rfam's summary of the family: U5 RNA is a component of both types of known spliceosome. Lineage: Eukaryota; Viridiplantae; Streptophyta; Magnoliopsida; Solanales; Solanaceae. The record is from Rfam by way of RNAcentral.